This is a long non-coding RNA of Mobula hypostoma (lesser devil ray), 713 nucleotides long. RefSeq lists it as uncharacterized. The record is from RefSeq and is a predicted model, not a curated record. The transcript has 3 exons. NCBI's taxonomy places the organism in Eukaryota, Metazoa, Chordata, Chondrichthyes, Myliobatiformes, Myliobatidae.
UUAGUGUCCCCUUCAUGAACAAAUAUCCAAUGCAGUACUGAGAGAGCACAUGUUUAAAGAAAAUAUCUCUGACUUCAGGAUUGGCGGAAUCAAAUGGGAACUCAGUAGAUUUUAAUUAGCCACUCGCCCAAAUAUAAUUUUAGUGAUCAGAUUGGGGGAUGCAUGGGUUAGAUGAUGCCACCACAUCAAGAAGGCAACGUCUAUCAUCAGAGAUCUCCACCAUGUCAUCCUCUCACAGCAGGAGGUACAGAAGCCUGAAGUCCCACACCACCUGGUUCAGGAACAGCUACUUCCCUUCAACCACUCAGUUCUUGAACCAACUGGCACAGCCCUCAUCACUACAGAAAACACUGGGCUACCUAGAAGUUGAGGAAAAUUAAGAAAAAUGAACAUUAAGCAAGAGAAUGCGGUCUGUGCCCUUCCAGCAUUUCGUGUGUGAUGCUCCAGAUUUCCAGCAUCUGCAGAAUCUCUUGUGGAUUCUCCCAGGAACUCUUUGGAUUACCGAUCUUAGUGAAGCUUGGACCUCUUCAGAGACCGUUUUCCUGUUUUUUCUCAUUCCUUUAUAUAAACUAUUCUCAAAAUUGUAAUUUAAUCUUCAUUGUCUGAUCUUUAACAAAAGGAGAUGCAAAAUGCACUUAUUUAAUACUCCUUUAUAACUAAUAUCGCCUGUGUGUUUUCACAUCACUUUACAGUGAGGAGGAGAGCAGCAUCAA